ACUUCUGUUGGAUUACUUUUAUUUGUUUAUUUUUGGGCUACUGAGAAUCAAACCCUGGGGCACUCUAUCACAGAGCUACAUCCCUAGUUCUUUUGUUGUUGUUGUUUGUUUUUGGAGGACACAACAUCUUUGUUUGUAUGUGGUGCUGAGGAUUGAACCCGAGUCGCAAGCAUGCCAGGCGAGCGCGCUACCACUUGAGCCACAUCCCCAGCCCUACAUCCCUAAUUCUUUAUAUUUUCUCUUGAAACAGGAUCUCCCUAAGUUGCCCAGGUUGGUCUCCAACUUGUGAUCCUCCUGCAUCAAUCUCCCAAGUUGCUAUGAUCACAAGCACGCACCAUGGGCCUGACUUCUGUUGGAUUACUUUGAAGCAAACCCGUACAUCAGUGCAUUUUUAACAUACAAUGUUGAUACUACACUUCCCUGUUUAAAUCCAUAUUUUCAUUAAUUCCCUGUUACUUGUAAGACAAUGACCAAAACCCUUAACUGGGGCCCCAAGGGCCCUGCAUGAUCUGGCCCCAGCAACCUUGGCAGCCUCAUUGCUCACUGCUUCACUACUCACCUGUACCCUCCAAACACAAAGGCCUUGUUUAUGGACAUCAUACAUGUCCUGCACAUUUGGCCUCAGGGCCUUUGCAUGUGAUAACCCUCUACAGUGACCCCUCUCCAAUUGUCAUUUUCCAUCUGGUUAGCAUUCAUUGGCUAUCCGCUCAAAUACUGUUCUUUAGAAAAGUCUUCCUGCUUCCCAGGGUUGAGUCAGGACUCUGAUAGAAGCCCUUCUAAGACCCUGUGCUUUUCCUUCAUUGUAUAUAUUACACCAUUAUAAUUAUGCAUUGGUUUAUGUAAAUAUUUGCUUCAUGUCUGCCUCUCCCAGCAGACAUGUUGCAGAAAGUACCUUGCCUUACCUCCUAGUACACAAAACGCUUGCCCAGAUCUGAGAGAAGAGCAGGCAUUCAAUUGCUAUUUGUAGAAGGAAGGUAGAAAGGAGAGAGGCUGGCAGUUCUCUGAGGACCAAGCUCCUGCCAGCCUCUCCUGGGAGAGGAGUUUUUCUGACCACACAGGGCUGGUGGCCAUAUGUAGUUCAACCAGUUCCUGGUCUCUGCUUUCUUCCCCUCAGACAUUUGUUUUCCCUCCUGUGCUGAGAUUUUCUUCCCUCUUUGCAAAGGAGUAACUGAGGCCCAGAAAGAGAGAGUGGCUUACUCAGGGACCCUCAGCCAGUGAGAUAUCAUUCCAAGCCUGCCCUGUCCUCCACCCCUACCCCUGGGCUCUUUCAAGACCCAAGAGCAUUCAUACUUGCCUGUGGUCCCGAGGACAGCCUGGUGGUCCACAGAGCCACAGUAAUUCUGAGAUGGGUGUCCUAGGGUGGUUGGGUGGGGUAUGCUGGAUGGCAUCCCCAGUGGACAGAGCUGACUUGUCCCCAGAGUAGCCACACCCCCUGGCAGCCCUGAGUGGCGGUGUCGGCUGUCUGUGGAGGCUGAGCAGUGGAGGCUGUCUGUGGGUCUCCCCCCUCAUCAGAGUGGACACCAGGAGCACAGGGGUGCUCUGUUUCUUACUGAAUGCGAGUCUGUUUUUAGACCUGAAUGACAGGCUUCUUGUGUAGAAAUGGCCAGGCCCCAAGUGGCCUGCCAAGAAAAAGUGGUCUGUCACCAGGCCCGCGGGUGCCCACUCAGACAGACACUGCGAUGGCAGUGGGCACUGUGAGCCAGGCCAGCCACAGGCAGGGCACUCUGCAGGCCAGCUGCCUGCUUGUCGAUGUGUCUGGGCUCUGGAGGAGAUCCUGGCUCUCCCCCCGAGGAAAGCCUCCCGCUUUCAGCUGUUUGUCCCUGUCUGUCUCCCUGGUGACUGUGCUCACUCUGCAGGCCUUUGAGCUACUGGCAGGAGGGAGAGGCAGCAAUUGCUGGACUCAAACCUCUGGAGGCAGGAGGAGAAGGGAGGGAUCCUGAGCAUGGCUGGGCCUGAGCCAUGCGGGUGCCUCCGGGCCCAAGGGGUGGGAAGCAGCCCCUGGUGUGACAGGUAUGAAGGGCCUUCUCCCGCUGGUUGCUGCUUCCGUGGGUUGCAGUCUCCAGGGAAUGCAGGGCAUGUGUGGAGUUUUAUAGGUACAGUUGGGACCCAGGGGGCCCUGGUCCUCGCUUCCCACAGGGAGAUGCACCUCUAGGUAUCUUUCCAGGAAUGGGAGGCUCUUGGCUCUCAGUGGUGCUGGUGGGAUGCGCAGCUAAGUGGGCAGGGUGAAGCUCAUGGUCCACCCUGGACUGGACUGUGACCUCUCUCGGAUCCUCACUGCAGUCCUGGAGAUCUGUAGGUCAGAUGUGGGAGCUCCCUCCCCAGCCCCAUCUUACAGAGACACAGACUCAGAGUCAGGGGAGUUAGAAGCAAACCUGAGUGAGUCGCUCCCACUCCAGGUCUUGUGUCCGUGUCACGAGGGCCCAUUGCUUCUAAACAAAUGACACAGAGGAGCUUUUCAGCUGGGAGAGUUUCAGUCAAUAAGUGGUUCUUGAGCACUUACUGAAUGCCUGGUGCUGUGCGAGGCUGUGGGGAAUGAGAGGCAAGUGGGACAUAAUCUGGUGGGGAUACAGAGUUAGAGUAGGUAGUGUAGACCCGAGAUGUGUCUGAGCAGAUAGUGUGUGGACUGGGAGGGAGGGCUCAAGUCUCAGGAAAGAGGGGUCUUCUCUCUAGAGAUUCAGGUCCUGCUUCAGGGAGGAGGUUUUGGGGUUGAGGACAGGGUUUCCGUCUUGGGCAAGAACAACUAGCUCUACAGAGCCUGAGCACUUCAGCACCCCACCCCCAGAAUUCCAUCCCCACAUGGAGCUGGGCCUCUCUAGUGUGCUUUGAGAACCCGGACCUGAGUAAGGAGGUCAAGGAGCAGGGAAAAGGGGGAUUGAGCCCAUUAUCUAGGGGUAGUCUAGUCAUCCAAGUGGCAAAUGUCUGGGUGGACCAGAUCUGGCUCUAGCAAGAAACCCACCAAGGGUAGGAGGUGAGAUCAGCUUUGCUCUCAGCUCCUCCAGCAUCCACUAGACAGGAAGACCCAAAGGUUUCUGAGACACCUGUAGGGAGGAGCUCUUGUUAGCACCAAAGCUCAAAGGGAUCCUUGUUUAGCCUGAAUCCACUUCCACCAAGGACUGGGCCAACCCACUCCCUCUCCUGAGCCAUUCUCUCUCCCAGUUUGUUUGAUUCUUUGAGUAGAGAAGACUGGGAGUGCGGGGAGUUCUGAUCUAGGGAACCCCAAACCCCAGAAGGGCCCCUGCAUGGUCAUCUCAGCCCAAGAGACAUCCCUUUUGUCUGGAGUCUUUGGGGAGAGUGAGGGCUUUGCCAGGGAAAGUCACAGGAAGGGUACAAUUCCAGGUCCCUCAAAUCGUCCAGCCUGUGCUACAGUGGAAAGAGUACUUUCUGCCAGACUGGAAUAUGGAUCAUCGCUCCGCACGUUCCCAGGUGUGUGCUCAGGAGCAAGGUGCUUUUCCUCUUGGGGCCUGAUUUUCCAUCUGUAUAAUAGGAUGAUGCCAUCUCCCUUCAGAAUGAGAGCUGAACUGAGGAUAGAGGGAUUCAUGAGCUACAUCUCUUCACCUUCUCUCUAUGGGCCACCCCAGGAAGAAACAUGGCUUCCUGGGCUAAUGGGGCAUGUCUUGAUCUGAAUACUUUCCUGAGUUUUCUGCUUGUCCUGGCCCUCAAGGCUCAUGGUGGGUAUGAACUUUUAUAAUUUAUUUAUUUAUUUGUUGCUGGGAAUGGAACCCAAGGCCUUGUGCAUGCCAGGCAAGUGCUUUUCUGCUAAGCCACACCCCCAGCCCUCAUGAUGGCUAUGGCUAUGGCUGUGGCCCAGGCUUGGGUGUCAGACAGACCUCCUUGGAGCCCAAGCCUGUAUGGAUGAGUCACAGAGCCCCUUCUGCCUCCAUUUUCCACCAUGGAGUGUGGGUGGUACCACUUGCUCUAUGUUAGUUGCCUAAAUGAUGUCAUCUACAGUGUGCCCUAGUUUGCAGUCUUUGGGUAAACCAGGCAAGGAGGUUUCUUGUUGGCUGCAAGUGCUGAGCACUGGAAGAAGAAUUAGAAGUUAAUGGGCAGCCAAGGAAAGCAGACCUCCUUUGCUGUCUCCCAGACUCUGGGCUUGGACUGUGGCCCCCUGUCUUUAUCUGUACCUUUCUCAUUACCUCUUGCCUCUGGGUGCUCCCAGAGGUUCUGCUCCAGAUCCACAAAGCUAGGUCCCCUGCCGUGCUCUCUCCUACCUGUUAGUUCUGGCUGCACAUCUCUACAUCUUGUGUUUCCCAGUUAGGAUUCAUUAGAAAGGGAAUUUGAUGGGUCAGCUCCUCUCACAGGAGGCUGCUGGUCAGCAUGCAUAUGACUUGGUUUGGGUCUGCAACACACCUGUGGUUCUGUCCACUGUGGUCAGGGUCACUUAUUAGGUCUUGUGAAAAGGGGUCUCUGGCCCUCCACAUACGUCCUUCAACUCAAAGCUGCUCCAGGAAUGAAGGGAAACAAAUUAAUAUUCCAGUCUAGGUGUCCUCAGGCCCCUUCCUAAGAAGUUAGGUUUGUGACUACACAAAGCACCUGCCCCUUCCUGAGCCCUUUGCAGUGGGAUCUGAGCAGAAUGUCUGCAUUGG
This 4583-nucleotide long non-coding RNA is filed under the name Marmota monax (woodchuck). The record is from RNAcentral. Lineage: Eukaryota; Metazoa; Chordata; Mammalia; Rodentia; Sciuridae.